This 468-nucleotide ribosomal RNA is filed under the name uncultured bacterium. RNAcentral describes it as "partial 16S ribosomal RNA". It matches the Rfam family "Bacterial small subunit ribosomal RNA", at positions 28 to 507 of the family's 1533-position model. The record is from RNAcentral.
GACGAACGCUGGCGGCGUGCUUAACACAUGCAAGUCGAACGGAAAGGCCCUGCUUUUGUGGGGUGCUCGAGUGGCGAACGGGUGAGUAACACGUGGGUAACCUGCCCUUGACUUUGGGAUAACUUCAGGAAACUGGGGCUAAUACCGGAUAGGAGCUCCUGCUGCAUGGUGGGGGUUGGAAAGUUUCGGCGGCUGGGGAUGGACUCGCGGCUUAUCAGCUUGUUGGUGGGGUAGUGGCUUACCAAGGCUUUGACGGGUAGCCGGCCUGAGAGGGUGACCGGCCACAUUGGGACUGAGAUACGGCCCAGACUCCUACGGGAGGCAGCAGUGGGGAAUAUUGCACAAUGGGCGGAAGCCUGAUGCAGCAACGCCGCGUGCGGGAUGACGGCCUUCGGGUUGUAAACCGCUUUCGCCUGUGACGAAGCGUGAGUGACGGUAAUGGGUAAAGAAGCACCGGCUAACUACGUG